RNAcentral lists this ribosomal RNA (1437 nucleotides) under uncultured organism. RNAcentral describes it as "16S ribosomal RNA". It matches the Rfam family "Bacterial small subunit ribosomal RNA". The record is from RNAcentral.
CUUAACACAUGCAAGUCGAGGGGCAUCAGGAAGAAAGCUUGCUUUCUUUGCUGGCGACCGGCGCACGGGUGAGUAACACGUAUCCAACCUGCCCUUUACUCGGGGAUAGCCUUUCGAAAGAAAGAUUAAUACCCGAUGGCAUAAUGAUUCCGCAUGGUUUCAUUAUUAAAGGAUUCCGGUAAGGGAUGGGGAUGCGUUCCAUUAGGUUGUUGGUGAGGUAGCGGCUCACCAAGCCUUCGAUGGAUAGGGGUUCUGAGAGGAAGGUCCCCCACAUUGGAACUGAGACACGGUCCAAACUCCUACGGGAGGCAGCAGUGAGGAAUAUUGGUCAAUGGGCGCUAGCCUGAACCAGCCAAGUAGCGUGAAGGAUGAAGGCUCUAUGGGUCGUAAACUUCUUUUAUAUAAGAAUAAAGUGCAGUAUGUAUACUGUUUUGUAUGUAUUAUAUGAAUAAGGAUCGGCUAACUCCGUGCCAGCAGCCGCGGUAAUACGGAGGAUCCGAGCGUUAUCCGGAUUUAUUGGGUUUAAAGGGAGCGUAGGUGGACUGGUAAGUCAGUUGUGAAAGUUUGCGGCUCAACCGUAAAAUUGCAGUUGAUACUGUCAGUCUUGAGUACAGUAGAGGUGGGCGGAAUUCGUGGUGUAGCGGUGAAAUGCUUAGAUAUCACGAAGAACUCCGAUUGCGAAGGCAGCUCACUGGACUGCAACUGACACUGAUGCUCGAAAGUGUGGGUAUCAAACAGGAUUAGAUACCCUGGUAGUCCACACAGUAAACGAUGAAUACUCGCUGUUUGCGAUAUACAGUAAGCGGCCAAGCGAAAGCAUUAAGUAUUCCACCUGGGGAGUACGCCGGCAACGGUGAAACUCAAAGGAAUUGACGGGGGCCCGCACAAGCGGAGGAACAUGUGGUUUAAUUCGAUGAUACGCGAGGAACCUUACCCGGGCUUAAAUUGCAGUGGAAUGAUGUGGAAACAUGUCAGUGAGCAAUCACCGCUGUGAAGGUGCUGCAUGGUUGUCGUCAGCUCGUGCCGUGAGGUGUCGGCUUAAGUGCCAUAACGAGCGCAACCCUUAUCUUUAGUUACUAACAGGUUAUGCUGAGGACUCUAGAGAGACUGCCGUCGUAAGAUGUGAGGAAGGUGGGGAUGACGUCAAAUCAGCACGGCCCUUACGUCCGGGGCUACACACGUGUUACAAUGGGGGGUACAGAAGGCAGCUAGCGGGUGACCGUAUGCUAAUCCCAAAAGCCUCUCUCAGUUCGGAUCGAAGUCUGCAACCCGACUUCGUGAAGCUGGAUUCGCUAGUAAUCGCGCAUCAGCCACGGCGCGGUGAAUACGUUCCCGGGCCUUGUACACACCGCCCGUCAAGCCAUGGGAGCCGGGGGUACCUGAAGUACGUAACCGCAAGGAUCGUCCUAGGGUAAAACUGGUGACUGGGGCUAAGUC